GAUGCUGAUGCGUCAGCUUACGCUAAAGUGACCUCUCUUUUCUACGAGAGCAAGAAGGAAGCCAUGCAGUUUAUAAGAUCCGUUAACGAGCUGCAAAAAAUCAUGCAUUUGUUAGUUUCUGAAGAUUCCGGUUCGGAAAAGCUCGUUCUAGCUCAAAAUUUGAUGCAAAUCGCAAUGAAGAGGCUUCAGAAAGAGUUUUACCAGAUUUUAUCGAUGAAUCGGGCUCACUUGGAUCCAGAAUCGGUUUCCACCAGAUCAUCAAGGACCUCCGCCAGGUCAAGCUUGUCUGAUUAUGAUGAUGAAGGUUCAACGGAAGAUGAAAU
This 323-nucleotide long non-coding RNA is filed under the name Theobroma cacao (cacao). RNAcentral's name for it is "long non-coding RNA (TCAC_LNC002834)". The record is from RNAcentral. Lineage: Eukaryota; Viridiplantae; Streptophyta; Magnoliopsida; Malvales; Malvaceae.